RNAcentral lists this ribosomal RNA (119 nucleotides) under Saimiri boliviensis boliviensis (Bolivian squirrel monkey). Lineage: Eukaryota; Metazoa; Chordata; Mammalia; Primates; Cebidae. The record is from RNAcentral.
GUCUAUGGUUAUACCACCCUGAAUGUGCCCAAUCUUGUCUGAUCUCGGAAGCUAAGCAGGGUCAGGCCUGGUUAGUGCUUGGAUGGGAGACUGCCUGAGAAUACUGGGUGCUGUAGGCU